GGAAUUUAAUAACGACAAAUUCUCCUUGGCUGAGACUUUUCAUGCCAGCUGCUUUCUCUUUUCCUUUGGACCCUUCCUCAUCCGUGCUGUAGUGCAGGGUCACUCAGGGUUUACAAGGAGACACAAACACAUGGGCAGGUUUUCUUCAGAGUUGAAAAAAAAACCAGAGGCUCCUCCCUCAGACCCAUCAUUACAGAGAUCAGCUGUGCACCCCCCAUGUCCCCUAAGCUGCUCUCCUGAUUAUACACAGAACCCUGUUCUUCAUCCUUCAGGGUGUCUGCUUUUUCUCCGGUUAUGCAGAAACAAGAGAUGGGCACAACACAGAGAGACCAACAAAAGAGGUUUAGAAGGGAGAGAAAAAAAAGAAAAAAGAACCC
RNAcentral lists this long non-coding RNA (377 nucleotides) under Rattus norvegicus (Norway rat). Its description in RNAcentral is "long non-coding RNA NONRATT010716". The record is from RNAcentral. Lineage: Eukaryota; Metazoa; Chordata; Mammalia; Rodentia; Muridae.